This 714-nucleotide long non-coding RNA is filed under the name Fragaria vesca (wild strawberry). RNAcentral describes it as "long non-coding RNA (FVES_LNC002935)". The record is from RNAcentral. Lineage: Eukaryota; Viridiplantae; Streptophyta; Magnoliopsida; Rosales; Rosaceae.
UGAGAUGAGAUGGAGGAGGAGGAAGAAGACGGAGACAAAAUUGGGUAAAGAAUAGCAGGAUACUUUCUUUAAUUGAUUUGGUACGCUGUCUAUUGAAUCAACUCACUUAAGAUCUAACGGUCAUCACAAUUUUAUCCUUUUUUGUCCCUCGUACUCCCUGUACUGGAACUCAGCAGUACUCCCUCGCCAACGCCACUCGUACUCCCUGAUGUCAGAAGCCAACGCCACUCGUACUCCCUGUACUGGAACUCAGCAGGGGUACCAGAACGUGCGUUCCCGUUCCUGACUCCCAGGAGGAUAUUGUAAGUCAUUUUACGUUUUUAAAUUUUAAAUUUUAAAUUUAUAUAUAUGUGAAAAUGUUAAUUAAUUAUUUUUUUCCUAUCCAAUUAGGCGAAGGUGAGGGAGGCUAGUGACGAGGUGAUGAGUGCUAUAGUGAGGGAGACAUGGCCGGACACGCAGGAGGAAGAGAUGUCCGAAGCCAUGUCCCGGAUCGACACUUCGGAUCCGACGAUUGGGGCGAGGAUCAUGGGCACAGCCUUCCCACCGAGAGCAAACAACUUCUACUGCCGGGGUCUAGGAAAGAAAGGCGAGGGGGUCCUGAAGACCACUCCAGGAUUUCAAAGAAAGGCAGCAUCGACCAGCAGCAGGACCACGUCCACGAUCACCAGGACGACUCAGCUAGAGUCGGAAGUUCAGAGACUACGAGAACAGCAA